GAAAUGUUGGAGACAAUGUUAAAGUUGUUUGUAUGAGUAUUAUACUCAUUCGAGUUAAGUUUAUUUUACUACUUUGCAGUUUGCACAAUAAAAAUAGUUUAGAUUCUGUA
Molecule: long non-coding RNA, 110 nt
Organism: Etheostoma cragini (Arkansas darter)
Lineage: Eukaryota; Metazoa; Chordata; Actinopteri; Perciformes; Percidae
Exons: 2
Source: RefSeq, a predicted model, not a curated record